Long non-coding RNA from Daphnia magna, 6820 nucleotides. RefSeq lists it as uncharacterized. The record is from RefSeq and is a predicted model, not a curated record. Lineage: Eukaryota; Metazoa; Arthropoda; Branchiopoda; Diplostraca; Daphniidae. The transcript is spliced from 3 exons.
UGCCCUACCUUUUCAAGCUCAGUGACGCGUUGUUCAGUGAAUACUUGACAUUCUCCCUGAAGCUUGCUUGAAAAAUCCAAUUAUCCAUGUGUGCGGUACACGACAUUGGAACUUCAAAGACAUCAAAAGUAGUUGAAUAACCCCACCUCCUAUGGCCUAGAUAUACAGUUUGUUGGCCAAGCUAAGGUGAAACAUGAGUCCUGCACUGGGUAUGACUACGGGCCUCGUCCUUUACAAACAAAGACAUUGCACACCCGGGUUCCCUGUGUUUCCGAUUAAUGGCGCUACUUAUCGAACAAAUUAAAGUCGGUGACAUUAAACAACGAAAUGCAUCGUCCACUGAUAACUCUACAAAGGCUUGUCUAUCAGUUUCUACGGCUAGGAGUGGUGGAAGAGGAUAAAAUUGUGCACCUUGCGUGGCAUUGUCUAUGGGGCGCGGCAAACAGAUUACUUUAUAGAGUGUAAAACGAAAAGGAAACUAAAAAACAGAUAUCGCCCUUCUGAAUGGAUGGACUCAAGGACGAUCCUGACGGCAGGACAGAUUUAAUUUCUUUCAGGGCGGCUUGAACUUGCAGCGAGGGAAAAAGGGUAGCUGGUAGACGUUCCAUAGCCAUAGCAGCCAAACCAACGGCAAAAUUAUCCAUCACCUCUUCGAUCCAUCCCACGGCAGGCCCAAUUUGACGGAACGCAUCUCCAACUUUCGUGGUAGCAAUCCAUUGCCUUUCGAUCUCUUUCACCACCCCGUCCAUUUUGUUGUCCAUUUUCCAGACCUCUCGUUCGAUUUUUGCAAAAGCCGUCUGUAGCUCGGCUACGGCGUCGCCACUUGCCUUAGUUUCCCACAGCGUCUCGUUAAUGAGAGAAGCAUGAACUUCCAGGGCAUGCGCAAUGGAUGUUGUCUCCGUCGAAAGCUUGUUGAUCUGGCCGUUCACUUGUUCAAGAUCUUCUUGGGUAGAGACCCCAAAAAGCCAGUUAAGAAGUCGACCUCCUCCAUUCACUAGGCCACGUUUCACUCUGGACUCUUGCACACCGACGGCUGUUUUUAGUUCAUUCCAGCGCUGAUGAACCUUCCGCAAUUUCAACAAUUCUUCUUGUUCCUGUUCUUUCACAUGUUGUUGCAAUGUCUGUUUAAACUGUGACUUAACUCCGUCGUAGUGAUCUGACAUGCCAUUCACUCGAAUGUCCAUGUCUUAACAGCACAAAUUUCACUAAAAAAUCUGCCACCUCUGACACAUCUGCUGAAGGUAGAGCUCGAGUCUCCGCCCACUUGGUGACGUAAUCUACGGCUACAAUAAUACUUUUAUUCCCACUCUUGGACAGUGGAAAAGGUCCCAGAAUAUCCAUCCCCAGUCUCUCGAAUGGACGUUCACUCCUUCGAAUUUCUAUAAACCCCACUGGUCGCUGGUAGACUGGUUUUCGGGACUGGAACUCCCGACACGCCCGCACAAAAUCACGCACGUCCUCGGCCAAGGCCCACCAGUAGUAUCUACCCCUCACUUUGUCAAGAGUACAAGUAAAACCUAGGUGGCCGGCGGUAAUGUCAUAAUGGCAAGAGCGCAUUUUCUCGUUCUUAAAGGAUUGAGGCACACAUACCCUUAGUAGGAGGCCGUCAUCAACGACCUUGGUCUGGAACAGCAGACCAUCCUUAAGGCGAUACUCGCUGUAUUUCCUUCCUUUCUCCAGCCCCGCGAAGACUUGGUCCCACUCCACUUGCUGCGCCUGCUGAAACUCACUCUUACUUUCAGUGUCAAUACUGAAGGCAGCUAGAGUACAAUACAGCUGUUCGUCGAGCUCCUGCGGUGCGUCGACCGGAUAGCGGGAAAACACAUCUGCCUCCGUAUGUAGUCUUCCAUUGCGGUGUAUGAUCCGUAGUAGAAAUUCCUGAAGCUGUAGGCUCCAGCGAGCUAAACGUCCGGCUAGAUCCUUCUGGGUGAGUAGCCAACACAGAGCGUGGUGAUCGGUCACCACCAAAGUAUCCAUUCCCCAUAUGUAACUCCGAAAUUUCUUGACGGCAAAAACCAAAGCGAGACACUCUUUCUCCGUUAUCGAGUAAUUCGACUCACUUGGAGACAAGAGGCGACUCGCGUAGGCCAGGGGCCUCUCAAUGUUAUUUACGCCUUGUAGUAACACCGCUCCCAAACCGUAGUCACAGGCGUCAGGGUGUAUCUCGAACGGUCUUGUAAAAUCGGGAUAGGCCAAAGUGGCCGCACUCACUAGAGCCUGCUUCAUCAGCUCAAAGCUGACUUCUUGCGACUCUUCCCACACGAAGCAACCAUCCUUUUUAAACAUGUCCGUCAGGGUUUUGGCUGUGUGUGCAAACUGAGGAAUGAACCGGCGAUAAUACGAGCAAAGCCCCACAAAACUACGUACGCACUUCAACUGUUCACUCGGCUUACAUAGGGUGGACGGAGAAGGAAAGUUUUCAACCGCAUUAAUUUUUUCUGGGUCAGGCCUAACUCCAUCCCACUAAAGACGUGGCCCAAAGCCUUGACUUCGCUGGCCCCAAACUGACACUUCACCAACUUAAUUUUCAACCCGGCCUUCCGCAGGGCGGUCAACACUUGUCGCACCAAGUGUUCCUCCGCAUCAGCCACGUAGAUGCUGAUGUCGUCCAGGUAAACGAGGCAAAUCGUCCAUUUCAGCCCGGUUAAAACCAAAUCCAACAUGCGUUAGAACGUCCCCGGUGCGAAGGCCAACCCGAAGGGCAUAACCAGAAACUGAUAAAGCCCGUCGGGGGUGACAACCGCCGUCUUGUUUUUAUCCUCUUCGUUUAGUGUCACUUGCCAGUCCCCACUCUCCAGAUCUUGCGUCGAGAAGAUGCUAGCGUUCCCCAUCCGAGACAACGUCUCUUCGAUCCUCGGCAAAGGGUAAGCAUCCUUUACGGAUAUGGCGUUGAAGCGGCUAUAGUCGACACAAAAACGCCAACUUCCAUCCUUUUUCUUCACUAAGACCACAGGUGAUGCCCACGGGCUUGUUGAACGUUCAAUUACACUUCCGCUCAGCAUUUCGUCCACUUGUUUCUGCACAAUAGCCCUCUCUUUCCAAGCACUCUUGUAGGGAGACUGUUGUACCGGCGUGGCUGUACCAGUAUUUAUACGAUGCCUUAAUCUUGCACACCCCCAGUUCUCCCUCCUUCAAAGCAAAACUAGUGUCAAAUUCCUCAAGUAGCUCAACCAUCUUCUCCACAUCAGCAGGGGGAAGCGUCGAUGCUACUUGAGCCCGAAAAGCUUGACGAGGAAUAGAGGUCACUCUCGGCGUAGAAUCUGAGUCCCUUAUUGACUCAGCUGAGUCCUCCCCAACAUCGUCGCCCAGUGAAUCUGGCGUUUCCCCUUCAUCCACUUCGACAAUGGAGGGUUCCACAGCCUCCAUCUGCCCCAAGACGGCCCCCUCCCUUAGGUAGGCGCGCCGAUUGGUUAAGUUAACCAUCAACACUUGUCCUAACGGUUGAUCCGAAGACCCCAGCACUUUAUCCGCCGUCAGCCCCUUGGCUCGAGCCAGAUGUUCCGAAGGUUCAAUCAUCCACGUUGCUUCAUUGAGAGUCGUGGCUUCUAUCUCCACCGGAACAAUGGCUCUGGGCGGAAGCAUUCUAGCCGUCUUCGUGACCAAUCUAGGUGCUUUCACGGCCUCCAGUUCUUCGAUUACGUUCACCGGUAACGCUCCGAGCAAUAAUUUAGCGCCAUUUGGGACGUAAUUUAUUGGGAGCCGCUUGAACUGGCUCAAAAAGUCAUUGCCCAGCAGUAACUCGAUCCCUCUCAUUUCCAAUAGAAUUACUUUUCCACGGGCCUCCAUUCCUCUAUGCUCGAUUUCUAGCUCGAGGGCUCCUAGCGGGGAAGCUCUCUGGCCGUUUACCAUGACUACAGACGGUCCUUCCUAUCUCAUACGACGAGCUCCUAGUUUCUCUUGCAAGCUCGGAGACGCCACCGACAUCACCGCUCCGGUGUCAAUCACGGCCUUGAUCCUUAUUCCUCGGCACACUAACUCUUCGGUUAUCAGGCAGGAAGAUUCAAUAAGCAGUACGGCCGCCUCUCCUGAGUCGUCUUCGUCGGCCGACCCCAUGCCCACGGUAUUCCGGUCAUCUUCUUCGGAGUCCCGUCGCCUAGCCUGCCAGGUCUUUCCAUCUUCCUUGCGCCGAUCGUUUCUCCAUCUGUUCUCUCCCUCGUCUCGACGAUCACUCCGCUGAACGCCCUUCCCAUCUUCUUUCGGGGCCGUACUUUUCUGGUCUUGGCCCUUCUCCGCCCUACAGAAACGAGCAAUGUGCCCCGCUUUGGCACAAUUAUGACAGAUAGGCUUCCCAUCCAAAGUCCGAGAUGCGAACGACACAUUAUUUUGAGGUCGUUCCAAGUUUCCCCGUCCACCCUCCGGCCUGGGAGAUUUUGACACGCCUUUUAACUUGGCGGGCUCAGCUUUAAAUUCCAGCAACAGGUCUCUCAAUUCGGUCCCAGCUUCCUCCUUUGGAGGAGGUAACCCCUUCAUUGGUCCCAACACGCUCACAGCCCAUUUGGGUCGAAUAGCUAACUCCGACGCUUCCGUGUGCAGCUGCACCGCAGUCAAGAAUUCCGCUGUAGUUCUCGGGCUAGUCAUCCAUAUCUUCUCGACAAGGGUAGGCUUCAAACCACGAAACAGAUAGUGCACUUUUGCCUCUUCCAACAUCCCUGGGUCUACCCUCCGACACAAAUCGAUGACGUCGUAGAUGUAUUCCACCCCUGAUUCGUCUAUCCCCUGCUUCCGCUGUCAUAACUUUGCCUCUUGAUAGCGGCCAUAAUGUUGCGGCUGAAAGGCGCGAAGAAAUCUCGUUCGUAGUCCAUCCACCCCAGGCACAGCCACCAUCCCCGGUGCUGCUGCCACUGCCGGUGUAUCCCGCCACACCGCCGGCGCUCCCGAGCAGAGAAACCAUUUCCUAGCUUCCCCAUUCAGCUGCAUCCCAAAAUUCUCGGCCAUUUCAGCUGCUCCCCAGCGGUUAUAGAGAGCCGUACUCUUAUAACGCUCUAGCCAAUCCACUGCAUCCUCAUUCUUCCUCCCGUAGAAGAUCGGAGGAGUCCGGUACUUCAAUUGGGGGGCAGGUGGUCGUUGGGCCAUGACUACUGGUGACGCGGCCAGAGAACCCGCUGAACUGCCUGACGACUCACUCGCAAGCUCCUCUUCGUCUACCGAAUCUGCAAGUGAUGAAUCUCUCGAGGAUAUGGGUCGGCUUCUCCAACCGUGCCAAUCCGAGCCCUCCUGACUGGUGCCCUCUUCCGGCUCGGAAUUCGCUCUGAGCCCUACCGCGUCCUUUCGUAGGUCGCCGGAAUACCACUGAAGUGACUCCGUGUAGUAGGCCCCUUCUAUCCCCGCUUCCACCAAGUUGCCUACUCUCGGCCCUACUACCUAGCAGGGGUGGAUAGGUAGUGGAUCGCUCUCUUGCGCCCGCCUCUUCUCCCGAGUCGUCUGGAUCCACAACCGUCCGUUCCCCUAGACCGCUGUCUCUCGGCCUCCGCUGUUGCAAGAACCUCCGAUAAUUGCACCCCCGAUUCGCCCUCUCUCCAGAACUCCCGACCGUAUUCCCUGAUUCAGCUCCGUGGCUCGUGGCGGGGUGACUUAUCGCUAGAGAGGUUUGCGUCCCAGUACUAACACAAACUUUGGUCGUAACCUCCGGUUGAGCUUCCGUUACGUUGGCCCCCCUACGUUCCAUUACUUCGCCGUUGGGUGACGCUUCAAUCACCCUUAACCGUUUACUUUGCCGCAGUGGACCAGUACUCAUCUACACCCGAUCAUUCAGGAUCGACGAACGGGUUAAAAUAGGUCUACUGGGGGAGUAGACCUAUUAUAACCCGCAUAAAACAAGACAAGAUCCGCUCUCUUACUUGAGUUGUGGACGUUCAAACGAAUAAGAAGCUCGGCCAGGCCUGUGGUCCUAUACCCAAGCAAUUUAAGGUACCAAUACUCGCUGGUCACACCUUCCAAGCACCUCUCAACAGCACCUGCCUCCUAAUUUCUUACUCUCUCACUUCGUCCCCUAACAACUCAGAAUCAAGCCCAAUGAUCUUACCUUAUUUUACCAGGAAGGUCUACCCUGCAUCUCCACCAUGUAACGAGUUAUCGCCGAUGGGUUUGGAGAAUCAAUAUCGGUGUAUUCAAUCUUUUCAACACUCAAGCACUACACAAAGUAAACAUAACUGUUCUAUCUAACUACUGGCCACGAAGGUCUACACUACAGUCCCAUUUAUAGUCUUUCAGACGUGGGAAAGAGUCAGUCGGCGAAUCCGAUGCAUCAGCAAUCGGAUGACACUCGAAUGACACUUCCGUCGGUCGUUUGUCUAUCCGUUACAGCUAUAACGGAUGGCGAGAGUUCUCUUACAAUGAUGCGUGAACGUUACAAUAUUAUUCAUAAAAGUACAUGGCGAUGAAAAUCCAAUGGCUUGUUUUACUUUCUGCUUCACGGUUUCAUUGAUCAAGGAAGUUGCUACUUUCAUGACAUAUUGCCAAUUAACUCGAGUUAGUUUUUGUUCGUUAGCAUGUUUAGAACAAAAUCUGCACCAAGGUAUUGUAAAUCAACAUCUGGUUUUGCUAAUUCAACAUGUGUAGAAGCCCGUUCACAGUCUAAAAAAUUAAAACUUCUGCUUAAUAAACGGUUAACUUAACUUAACUUACACUAACUUACCAAUUUCAAUAGCUGAGUUGUUACAAAUAUCUGUUGCUGUCAACGUUUCAGUGACUUUGAAUUGUUCAAUCACAGGCACAUAAAAAAACUGGGGUGGAAUGUUUGUAAAUGACGAUACAAUCCACCGAAUAAUUUGAAGUUGGUCAAGUGAAGACAUUCAUUGCUAAAUAAACAAGGACUUGUGAA